ACGGGUGAGUAACACGUGAGUAACCUGCCCUCAUCUCUGGGAUAACAAUCGGAAACGGUUGCUAAUACUGGAUAUGAGCCUGCAAGGCAUCUUGUGGGUUGGAAAGAUUUUUUGGUUGGGGAUGGACUCGCGGCCUAUCAGCUUGUUGGUGAGGUAGUGGCUCACCAAGGCUUCGACGGGUAGCCGGCCUGAGAGGGCGACCGGCCACAUUGGGACUGAGAUACGGCCCAAACUCCUACGGGAGGCAGCAGUGGGGAAUAUUGCACAAUGGACGGAAGUCUGAUGCAGCAACGCCGCGUGCGGGAUGACGGCCUUCGGGUUGUAAACCGCUUUCAAUUGUGACGAAGCUUUUUGUGACGGUAGCAGUAGAAGAAGCACCGGCUAACUACGUGCCAGCAGCCGCGGUGAUACGUAGGGUGCGAGCGUUGUCCGGAUUUAUUGGGCGUAAAGAGCUUGUAGGUGGUUUGUCGCGUCGGGAGUGAAAACUCAGGGCUUAACUCUGAGCUUGCUUUCGAUACGGGCUGACUUGAGGGAGGUAGGGGAGAAUGGAAUUCCUGGUGGAGCGGUGGAAUGCGCAGAUAUCAGGAGGAACACCGGUGGCGAAGGCGGUUCUCUGGACCUUUCCUGACGCUGAGGCUCGAAAGCGUGGGGAGCAAACAGGAUUAGAUACCCU
Molecule: ribosomal RNA, 673 nt
Filed under: uncultured bacterium
Lineage: Bacteria
Description: bacterial SSU rRNA
Rfam family: Bacterial small subunit ribosomal RNA
Source: RNAcentral